Molecule: ribosomal RNA, 831 nt
Filed under: uncultured archaeon
Lineage: Archaea
Description: bacterial SSU rRNA
Rfam family: Archaeal small subunit ribosomal RNA
Source: RNAcentral
GGUUACUGCUAUCGAGGUUCGACUAAGCCAUGCGAGUCGGAUGUAGCAAUACAUGGCGUACUGCUCAGUAACACGUGGACAACCUACCCUUAGGCCUGGGAUAACCCCGGGAAACUGGGAAUAAUACCGGAUAUCUCGCGAAUGCUGGAAUGCGUCGCGAUAGAAAGCUCCGGCGCCUAAGGAUGGGUCUGCGGCCUAUCAGGUAGUAGUGGGUGUAACGUACCUACUAGCCUACGACGGGUACGGGUUGUGAGAGCAAGAGCCCGGAGAUGGAUUCUGAGACACGAAUCCAGGCCCUACGGGGUGCAGCAGGCGCGAAAACUUUACAAUGCUGGAAACAGCGAUAAGGGGACCUCGAGUGCCAGGAUACAAUCCUGGCUGUCGUAAUGCCUAAAAAGCAUUGCAUACAAGGGCCGGGCAAGACCGGUGCCAGCCGCCGCGGUAACACCGGCGGCUCGAGUGGUAACCGCUAUUAUUGGGUCUAAAGGGUCUGUAGCCGGCUGACUAAGUCUCUUGGGAAAUCUGGCAGCUUAACUGUCAGGCUUUCAGGAGAUACUGAUCGGCUCGAGACCGGGAGAGGUGAGAGGUACCUCAGGGGUAGGGGUGAAAUCUUGUAAUCCUUGAGGGACCACCAGUGGCGAAGGCGUCUCACCAGAACGGAUCUGACGGCAAGGGACGAAAGCUAGGGGCACGAACCGGAUUAGAUACCCGGGUAGUCCUAGCCGUAAACGAUACUCGCUAGGUGUCGGCCACGGUGCGACCGUGGUCGGUGCCGUAGGGAAGCCGUGAAGCGAGCCACCUGGGAAGUACGGCCGCAAGGCUGAAACUUAA